UACGUAGGGGGCAAGCGUUGUCCGGAUUUAUUGGGCGUAAAGAGCGUGUAGGCGGCUUGGUAGGUCCGCUGUGAAAACCCGCGGCUCAACUGUGGGCGGGCAGCUGAUACGGGCAGGCUGGAGUUCGGUAGGGGAGACUGGAAUUCCUGGUGUAGCGGUGAAAUGCGCAGAUAUCGGGAGGAACACCAGUAGCGAAGGCGGCACUCUGGGCCGGUACUGACGCUGAGGAGCGAAAGCGUGGGGAGCAAACAGG
RNAcentral lists this ribosomal RNA (253 nucleotides) under uncultured bacterium. RNAcentral's name for it is "partial 16S ribosomal RNA". It matches the Rfam family "Bacterial small subunit ribosomal RNA", at positions 524 to 776 of the family's 1533-position model. The record is from RNAcentral.